UUAAGCCAUGCGAGUCGCGAGUCUUAGGGACUCGGCGUACCGCUCAGUAACACGUGGGUAACCUGCCCUAUGCUGGGGGAUAACCUCGGGAAACUGAGAAUAAUACCCCAUAGUUCACCACGCCUGGAACGGUGGGUGGACCAAAGCUCCGGCGGCAUAGGAUGGGCCUGCGGCGUAUCAGGUUGUAGGGGGUGUAAUGUACCCUCUAGCCCUCUACGCGUACGGGUGUUGAGAGACAUCGCCUGGAGAUGGAUUCUGAGACACGAAUCCAGACCCUACGGGGUGCAGCAGGCGCGAAAACUUGGCAAUGCGAGAAAUCGUGACCAGGGAACUCCAAGUGCAUCGGGUAAGACCGAUGCUUUUCUUGACUCUUCAAAGGUCUUGGAAUAAGGGGUGGGUAAGGACGGUGCCAGCCGCCGCGGUAAUACCGGCGCCCCAAGUGGUAGUCGCUUUUAUUGGGCCUAAAACGUCCGUAGCCGGUCUGGUACAUUCGUGGGUAAAUCAACCAGCUCAACUGGUUGAAUUCUGCGAGCACGGCCAGACUUGGGACCGGGAGAGGUGUGGGGUACUCUCAGGGUAGGGGUAAAAUCCUGUCAUCCUGAGGGGACCACCUGUUGCGAAGGCGCCACACUAGAACGGAUCCGACGGUCAGGGACGAAGCCUAGGGGCACGAACCGGAUUAGAUACCCGGGUAGUCCUAGGUGUAAACGCUGUGGACUUGAUGUUGGGGGCGCUCCGAGCGCACUCAGUGUCGAAGCGAAGGUGAUAAGUCCACUGCCUGGGGAGUACGGUCGCAAGGCUGAAACUUAAAGGAAUUGGCGGGGGAGCACCGCAACCUGAGGAUUGUGCGGUUUAAUUGGAUCAACGCCGGG
This 872-nucleotide ribosomal RNA is filed under the name uncultured archaeon. RNAcentral describes it as "bacterial SSU rRNA". It matches the Rfam family "Archaeal small subunit ribosomal RNA", at positions 44 to 922 of the family's 1478-position model. The record is from RNAcentral.